AGUCCGGAGCUUCCGGUCGCCGCGGCCGACCAGCUGAGGGCUCCCGGAGAUAUGGAGCGGGGUCAGCGAGGCCUGGUGGCGCCUCCUGGAGUCUGGGACGAGCGGCGGUCCGAGGAGCAGCCCAGAUUAUUGGCCGAGGAAAAACCAAUUUCGCUCUAAAGGAUAAGCAACAAAAUACUGAGGGGGGAAAAAGCCUACACAAAUGGAAACAUACGGCACAAAAUCAAGGAGCGACCAGUUCCGCAUGGUUACACUAAAAUGCACUGCACUCCCACUCUCUGGCUUGGCUGAAGAUAACCAGCAAGCUCUGAACAGUUUAAAAGCCUUCCAAGGACUGCAGCAGCACUGGACACACAAGAGAGUCGAGAACAGUAUUGGAUUUAUUGUUAGGGUUACAAUUUUCACGAUCUUUGCAUGCAAAACUUGCCACUCUGAGCCCAGUGAACUAUUUUUAUUUGGUUUACUUACUGGCUUUCUGGAUGACUAGGUAGAGCUUUAACUAAAGAACACUUCUGCUGUGGUCUGUGAUGAUGAAUUUUCCCGUAGUGUCAUUUCUAUAAUGGAAUAGGCAAACUGACCAUUUAGAAUGUGAUAUUCCUAAAUCACAUUCAAAUCAGUCUUAUCAGAGACUUCUAAUCAAUAAAAAUAAAGCACCAGAUGGCUAGAGGUAGUUUUUGACCUCAGCUUGGGCCUCAGCAAAGAUUUUUUGUGUUUUUUUUAACUACAUUAAAACAUCAGAGUUUAAGACACUUUUCUUUGAGCAUCAGAAAUACUCUCAGCUGAAUUUAGAGUUGAACUAUCCGGAAGAACCCUGGAGAAGGAGGGUGAUUUAUUUUCAACUUUCUGAUUUACCACCGACUUAAAUCAACCAAUGAGUUCUUUCUUUGACCAAAAAAAAAAAAAAAAAAAAAAAAAAAAAAAAAAAAAUUCAAGACUUGUGAUGUUUCUAUUUGUUUUGUUUUGUUUAGUUUGGUGUGUGCUUACUCAUUGUCCCAUUCUUUUGAUAACCUGUAUUUAUCUGCCACAAGUUAAACAAAAAUAAAUGAAAUAAGGAACACACCAAAAUCCUGCACUUAGGCCCUGUAUAGACAGUGUGUUCCAAACCUAAGGAGGUGUCUGCAACAGGGGAGGCUGCUGAGUGACUCUGCAGAGAACAGAUGACAUCUGUUAAAUGUCAAACACCAUCACGUCGUACUUCAAGUUGUACUUUACUUGGAACAUGGAAGCCAUCUGUCUGGAGCUCCCACAUCCAUUUCAAAUCUUCAGGGUUCCCCAUUCCAGGGGAGGAGCUGAACCUCCUGACACCGUCCACUUCCCUCCUGCCUCCUUCAAACAUCAUCCCUUUUUUCUCCCGAAUCCCUAAAUGUUUCUGCACCCAAGGGCUCUACCCCAAUAAACACAGCUAAGACUCUUUGAUUCUUAAAAUGUCUUCCUUUAACGUCCCACCCUCCAGAAUCUAUUGUCGUAUGUUUUGUUCACCAAAGGUAAUAAAAAUAAAUGUGGAUUUUGGUGCCGUUAUUUUUCAAAAAAAGCUAUAUAUUAAUAGUUUUUCUUGCUUAUGUAUACAAAUCAAAUUACUUAUUUUUAAAUCCAUCAUUCCCCUAGAGUUUCUGCAGCACUUGAUCCUCUAAUCACCUUGCUCUUGGUCUACCAUUGGCUUGGUUUUUCUCCUUCCUCUGUAGCAGUCCUUUCGUCUUUGUUGACUCAGAUUCUUCCUCCCUUCUAAUCCUCCAAUAUUUUUACCAUCCCCUAAUUGUAAACCACAGGCUUUUUAUCUUUACUGUCUCUCACAGCCCUCAUUUACUAUUACUUCCAUCCCGGAUCCUGGUGACUCCCAACUCCAGAAUAUAUACCCUUAACCUCACUCCUGACUUCCACUAAUACAUUCUGAAUGGUCCCUGCACAAUUCUAUCAAGAUACCCUGCUGUUAAUUUAAUAUGUUCCAAACCACAUUAAUCUUGCAAUAUACAAUCACUUUACACAUACCUCUCCCUUGCUCAAAAACCUUUAAUAGAUUCCCCGUUCCUAUAUAAGUAAAUAUUAACUUCACCUCCUCACCAUCACCACCACCACCCCCUAAUUGGGCCCUG
Molecule: long non-coding RNA, 2090 nt
Filed under: Homo sapiens (human)
Lineage: Eukaryota; Metazoa; Chordata; Mammalia; Primates; Hominidae
Description: non-protein coding lnc-PEX7-2:6
Source: RNAcentral